AAAAAAUUUUAUUUUAGUUUAAGAAUUAAGUAUUAUUUUUUAUUAUAUAUAAAAUUUAUUAAAUAGUAUUUUGUAGUGAUUAGAUUUAAAUAUUCAAGUGAUUGAGAAUUAGAAAUAAUAAAAAAUAUAAACUAAAUUUGUGCCAGCAGUUGCGGUUAUACAAAUUAUAUAAUUUAAUUUAUUUAAUAAUAAAUAAUUAAGAUGUUAAAUUAAAUUUUAAAAUUUGUUUGGUGAAAUUAUCAAAUUUUUAAAAUAAUUUAUUUUAGUUAAUAAUUUAAGAAAUUUUUUAGUUAGACUAGGAUUAGAUACCCUAUUAUUGAAAAUGUAAUUUUUAUAUUAAAUUAGUAUUAGCUAUGUUCUUAAAAAUUAAAAAUUUUGGCGGUAUUUUAGUCUUUUCAGAGGAACCUGUUUUUUGAAUGAUAGUCCACGAUUUUAAUUACUUUUUUUUUUAGUUUGUAUAUCGUCGUAAUUUAAAUAUUUUUUAAAAAUUAAAUAUUUAGGAUUUAUGUAAUAAAAAAAAUCAGAUCAAGGUAUAGCUUAUAAAAAAGUUAAAAUGGGUUACAUUAAAUAAAUUUGAAGAUAAUUAUUUUUAAAAAUAGUUUGAAUGUGGAUUUGAAAGUAAUUUUAAUAAUUUUAUUAAAAUGAUUUAAGCUCUAAAAUAUGUACAUAUUGCCCGUCGCUUUCGUUUAAAAUGAAAUAAGUCGUAACAAAGUAGAUUUACUGGAAAGUGAAUCUAGAAUCAA
This 743-nucleotide non-coding RNA is filed under the name Crepidodera pluta. The record is from RNAcentral. Lineage: Eukaryota; Metazoa; Arthropoda; Insecta; Coleoptera; Chrysomelidae.